This 253-nucleotide unclassified non-coding RNA is filed under the name uncultured Nannocystaceae bacterium. Its description in RNAcentral is "contains 16S-23S intergenic spacer region". It matches the Rfam family "Bacterial small subunit ribosomal RNA", at positions 524 to 776 of the family's 1533-position model. The record is from RNAcentral. Lineage: Bacteria; Pseudomonadati; Myxococcota; Nannocystales; Nannocystaceae.
UACGGAGGGUGCAAACGUUGCUCGGAAUCAUUGGGCGUAAAGCGCACGUAGGCGGCGGCGUAAGCGGGAUGUGAAAGCCCAGGGCUCAACCCUGGAAGUGCAUCCCGAACUGUGUCGCUUGAAUCUCGGAGGGGGACAGAGAAUUCCCGGUGUAGAGGUGAAAUUCGUAGAUAUCGGGAGGAAUACCAGUGGCGAAGGCGCUGUCCUGGACGAAGAUUGACGCUGAGGUGCGAAAGCGCGGGGAGCAAACAGG